This is a non-coding RNA of Carassius auratus (goldfish), 908 nucleotides long. The record is from the annotation of a RefSeq genome assembly. Lineage: Eukaryota; Metazoa; Chordata; Actinopteri; Cypriniformes; Cyprinidae.
UGACACACACACAGAAGAAACUAUGAUUUCUCUUAUUCUAACUCUGGGCACAUUCUGUCUGCUUGCUCAAGUUUCUCAUGAAGAGGUUCAGUCUCCUGAGUCUCUGUCUGUUAAAGCAGGAGAAUCUGUCUCUAUCAGCUGCACUGGGACCAGCGGAGUUGGUGAUGACAUGAGCUGGUAUCUGGAGAAAACUGGAGAAGCUCCUAAACUCCUGAUCUACACAGCCACUGAACUUGAAACUGGAGUCCCAGAUCGAUUCAGUGGAAGUGGAUCUGAACCUGAUUUUACACUGAAUAUACGUGGAGUCCAGCCUGAGGAUGCAGGAGUUUAUUACUGUAUGGGGUAUUAUAGUGAUACAGUGAUCACACGGUGAAACAGCAUCGUACAAAAACCUCCCUCAGUCUGACACAUUGAAAAUAUGUGAGUGCUGAGUUCACAAUAUCAAUAUGAUAAAUACUCUUACUCCCUAGUUAGUUCAGUAUGAAUUACGUUUGAAUAAACAUACUGGCAUUUGUUUGUAACCAAACAUAUUCUUAAAUUUAUCCUUUUAAUUGUUUUAAUCCUGAAGACAAUAGCACAAAACUAUAAAUUUCAAACUAUAUGCCAUAAUUUUUACCAUUUUAAACAACAGUCGGUAAGAUUUUAAUUAUUCAGUCUGUUCAUGAAAUCACAAUUGUCAUUAUUUCAGCUGAAAAGAAUAUAAAUGAAGAAAAGCUAGCCUUAUGUCAAUUAUCUCCAAUUAUCUUUGUCUCAGUUGUCAAGAUUCACAAUUAAUGAUUUCAAAGAGCUUUUAUUUAAAAUAACAUGCUUUUAUAUAAAAACAAAUUCUUACUGAACUUGUUAAAGCAGGCUUAAAGAAAGAUUAACAUAAAAAGUGAAUUAGUACACAGUCGUGUUUGUCCAUUAGU